CUCGUAGGUGGCCAACUAAGUCAGACGUGAAAUCCCUCGGCUUAACCGGGGAACUGCGUCUGAUACUGGAUGGCCUGAGUUUGGGAGAGGGACGCGGAAUUCCAGGUGUAGCGGUGAAAUGCGUAGAUAUCUGGAGGAACACCGGUGGCGAAGGCGGCGUCCUGGACCAACACUGACACUGAUGAGCGAAAGCCAGGGGGAGCAAAACGG
RNAcentral lists this ribosomal RNA (210 nucleotides) under uncultured bacterium. RNAcentral describes it as "partial 16S ribosomal RNA". It matches the Rfam family "Bacterial small subunit ribosomal RNA", at positions 568 to 776 of the family's 1533-position model. The record is from RNAcentral.